GCAUACUUUAGAUCCCCAUUCAUUUUAUUUUAAUAAAUAAAAUUACUGCCAAAUCCUAACAGGAAAAAUUUUACAAAUUUUAACUUAUUAGCGUAACCCAUCUCUUCUUUUAAAAGCUGCACCUUGAUUUGAUCUAAAAUAAAAUUUUAUUUAACGAAAAUUAACGUUCUUUGGAAAUAUUCAUUUCAACAACGAUAUACAAGCAAUUUAAAAGUAAAAUAAAUUGUGGACUAUCAAUUACAGGACAGGUUCCUCUGGUAGGCUCAAGUACCGCCAAGACAUUUAAUUUUCAAGCACUUAACUAAUACUAAUCCGGUUUAAAUGAUUACGAUAUAAAUAACAGGGUAUCUAAUCCUGGUUUAAAAUAAUAUUUUUAUAGAUCAUCUUAUUUCUUAUUCUGUAUUUUUAUAUUAAAAUUUCACCUCUAAAUAUAACUAAUCUAAAUUUAUAAUCAAUUAACUAAAACCACAAAAAUUAAGUAGCACCUUUUGUUUAACCGCA
Molecule: ribosomal RNA, 501 nt
Filed under: Cryptocephalus laetus
Lineage: Eukaryota; Metazoa; Arthropoda; Insecta; Coleoptera; Chrysomelidae
Description: partial 12S ribosomal RNA
Source: RNAcentral